RNAcentral lists this long non-coding RNA (1026 nucleotides) under Heterocephalus glaber (naked mole-rat). Its description in RNAcentral is "lncRNA (ENSHGLG00100049937.1)". Lineage: Eukaryota; Metazoa; Chordata; Mammalia; Rodentia; Bathyergidae. The record is from RNAcentral.
AGAGUCCCCAAUAGAAACAGGACUUUACAGGAUGCUGCAGGAGCCCUGAUGCCCAGGACAACCCAGACAGCCAAGAUCCAGGGCCCCCAAGAAGGAGAUCACAAGGAGACAAAAGAAACAAGAAAAAACCAGUGUGUCCCAGGGGCUUCACCCCUUCCUGCAAACCUCAGUCUCUGUGAGCUGGAGGGAGUCUGAAUGGGGUGGGGUAUCAGCAUUGUAUUUGUGGAAUGGCCUACCCAACCCUUUGUCUGCUAGUAACCUUGACUUUUCUCCAGGGGACCACCUCUGAGGGAAGCCCAGGGAGCUGGCUCCAGGAUGGACUUGGGACCCACAGUGAUCAAUUAGCAUAUUUCUUCUUCCUGUCAACAGUGAUUGGUUGAGGAGUUGGGCACAUGACUCAAUUCAGUGCCAACUGUGCUGCUCUUGUCUACUAGGAGACUGACAUCUUUAGCUUCCACAAGCUGGGGCAGAUUGGCUUGUGCAUCUUCAUAGGUCAAAAGCAGAAGGCAGGGGUAGAACUUCUGCCACCCAACGCCCCUUCGCUGGCCCCUGCACACCCUGACCUGCUGCCUGCCACACCUGCCACCCCUCAGAGCCACUGAUAGGGGCCAGUGUCCCUCUGCAAAGGACAGACAUCUGUCAGACAUGCUGGCUCCCAGAGGCCACAGACUUCACCAUCCCUACUUCCUGCCAGCUUAAGAGGGGCCCUAGAAUAGUGUGUCCCUGUCUAAGACAUGGACAGCUGCUCCAGAGACAGAAGACUGUGGCUGCUAGCAGACACUGGCCUUUGCACUGUGCAGUGUGUGUUCUGGGAAGGUGCUUCUUGAGUACUCACCUGUGGCCUUUUCAAGAUAAUGAUUGAUUUCAAAGGGCACUGUGUGUAGCCCCACAUCUCUCCCUCCAUCUCUGUCUGCACAUGGUUCUGCCCAUCUUGAAUCUCCCUCUCUGUGGGCUUCCUUCUGUCUACUUCUCUGACUUUACUUUUCUCCCUCUCCAUCUGGCUCUCCUUUUCCACUCAGCUCUGCC